Molecule: ribosomal RNA, 257 nt
Filed under: uncultured bacterium
Lineage: Bacteria
Description: partial 16S ribosomal RNA
Rfam family: Bacterial small subunit ribosomal RNA
Source: RNAcentral
UACGUAGGGGGCAAGCGUUUGUCCGGAAUCAUUGGGCGUAAAGCGCGUGUAGGCGGCUGAGUAAGUCUGCUCUGAAAGCCCGGGGCUCAACCCCGGGAGGCGGGUGGAUACUGCCCAGCUCGAGUGCCGGAAAGAGGAGUGUGGAAUUCCUGGUGUAAGCGGUGAAAUGCGCAGAUAUCAGGAGGAACACCAAUGGCGAAGGCAGCACUCUGGGACGGUACUGACGCUGAGACGCGAAAGCGUGGGGAGCAAACAGG